Long non-coding RNA from Strigops habroptila (Kakapo), 4016 nucleotides. The record is from Ensembl. NCBI's taxonomy places the organism in Eukaryota, Metazoa, Chordata, Aves, Psittaciformes, Psittacidae.
GGAAGCUGUAAUAGGAGGUAUGUAGAGAUGCCAGUCACUGCAUUCUCACUGGCAAUGCAAAUUGAAAAUCUUGUAAAUCAAUAUUAAGGCUUAUUAUAUGGAUGGAAGGGGGAAAAGGAGUAACAUAGCUUGCUGAUCUUCACUGAGAACAUAGCUAACCUGCAAGGAAAUAGUGAGUUAACUAAUUGUUUUAAACCAGUCUUGCUCAGAUGCAAAUCUGCAUACAACUGUGCAUGAAAAUUUGGUGGUUUUUUUUUUAAUCUAGUGAAGUUGCUUGUUAUAGCUAAAGGUGUUUUACCCUUCUGCAGCAGUACAGGGGAGAGGUCCUAGUCCUCUGGUCCCUGCGCUUUGGCUCUCUGAUCUGACAGCACCAUUAUUUUGGCUUUUGCUGGGCCUUAUGCUGAGCUGAUUCAAUGCAAAAGCUUGGUAAAACACUACUUGAUCAUACUUGUUUUCUGCUGGCAUAACAAGCUGAAUUAGUUUGGUACAGUCUGGCAAGUACUAAAGUCAGUAGGAAAACAGGACAAAGAGCAGUACCUCCCCUUAUGAUGAUUGCUUAGGGUGCAACUUUGCAUGUGUUUGCAAAGUAAUUAUCCUGGGCUGCCCUUUUUUUCCUUAUAGUAUGUUAUUGCAACCAAAUGAUUACAUAGUCACAACUCCUUACAUGGGCUGUAAUAUAUAUGUAUAUAGCUACAUAUAUGCACAUAUACAGGUAUUGAAUCCAGAUUUGGCAUUAAAUAGGUCUAGGACACAGUAAUAUACUAAGUAUGUUUCUCUAAAAUAAGGUAUUAAGUGGAAAGUGUAAGAAUAGAAACAUUGGAUAUCACAUGUGCUCAGUUACUUUGGCUGCAAUUGUUGCCUGAAAACUUAGAAGUGGGAAGGGAGCUAAUCACACUGACCCUAACUGACCCCAGGGAUAUCCCAUACCAUAUGAUGUUAUGGCCAGCAUAUAAAUCUGGGAAAGAAUGGAGGAAGGGGGGAACGUUUGGAGUGAUGGAGUUUGUCUUCCCAAGUAACUGUUAGCAUGAUGGAGCCCUGCUUUCCUGGAGAUGGUUGAACACCUGACUGCAGUGGGAAGUGGUGAAUGAAUUCUUUGUUUUGCUUUGCUUGUGCACAGCUUCCACUUUACCCAUUAAACUGCCUUUAUCUCAACCCUUGAGUUCUCUCACUUUUACUCUUCUGAUUUGCUCCUCAUCCAGCAAGUGACUGGAUGCUUGAUUGGCAGCUGGGAUUAAACCACAACAGUGACCCAUGAUAACUGGUGGCUCUGUGGGCUCAUUAAUCGCUGACGCUGCUAGCUUCCCUCAGAUUGCCUGAGGCGGGGAGAGAAGCUAGGGCAGGAGCUAGUGCAACUGCUGUAGAGCAAGACAUCUGCAGUCCUGAAUCAGCUCCUGAAUCUGGCUGCUGAGAAAGAACUGCUAUUUUUUCUUCAGAGCAGUCUGUCUCAUCACAGAAAGCUCAUGAAGUGAUUUGAGGGACUGAUUCUGUAAGGUGCUGAGUUUCUGAGUAACUGCUUAGUGAAUGUGCAUAACUCCCACCCAAAGCCAGUGGGAGUUCAGGGUAUUCAUAUCAUUCCAAAUACCCCUUUUUAUUCUUAAAGAUGGCUUGAUAAAAGGAGCUUGUAAAACAAUGAUCUGUUUUCUUUCUGUUCUGCGGUUAUGAAUUUGAACAUAUGCAUGAAAAGGAAAUGGAUAACCGUUUUCUGUUUUAAAAAUGGCUAGAAACAAGCACCAAUGUCAAAGGCAAGGGCAUAUGAAUCUUACUCGAUUUACAUCUGGUUUUAUGCCAAGUGUGUGUGGUUUUGCUAGUUUGAGAAAUCCACUGAAUGGUCUUCACCGAUAACAUUCUUUCGUGUGUUGGUUCAGAGAAAACUGAAAAACUCAAGGUACAAAAUUCUGCAUUUACUGAGUCAUUUACUGCUUUUUGCUAUAUCUGCCUAUUUUUCUGGAUUUAAGAACACUAGCAGCUUAUAAAGAGGGAUUGGUUUUCAUUGCCGUGGAUUUACACAGAGCCACGAAGAGUAUAAACAAAGCCUCUUACUCCAUAGCAAAGGAGUCUGAAAUUCUACAUAAAGUUUCUAGUUGCAGUGGGCUACAACGCACAGUUACAUUAUUUAUUAUGUUAAAAUAGAGGCUUUUAAUAAAUUAAGCUCACAAAUAAAGAUUAAUAGUCAAUAGAGUAGUGCUUCUGAUACUUUGAUGAAAAGCUCUGCAUGUUUUAUGCUGCCUUGCACUUAGUUCUUAAAGCAUCAAAGAUGUUUGUGCUGGAAGUGCGCAAUUGUCAAUGAGAAGCAGUGGGCAGAUGGGGAAGUGGAAUAUGCACAAGAGCUGCGUGUUCCCAAGUCAGCAGUGCAGUAGCAAAUAGCGUAUGACAAGCUGUCUUUUAAGACUUCAGGCUUAAUCAGUUCAGAUCUCAGUCAUUUGCUUCCCUUGGAGUAUGGCUCCAGGACUUUGCAGACUCAAGAAAACAGAACUGGAGCAGAGACAAAUUGAGGUUUGGGGAUUUUUCUUCCCUGAAAAAAGCUGCCUGAGUAUUUUUUUUGUUGUUGUUGUGGUUUUAUUUGUUUAAUUUUGGUUUGGUGUUUUGGUGAUCGCUUUGGUUUUGGUUUUUGUUUUUAAGGAAAAUAACGAAGCCAUGCAGCAGAAGCCUAGUUGAGUUCCUUUAAGUCCUUGCAUUUUUCAGAAGUUUCUCUCCUUAAGGAAGGCUUGUGUGCCAGUUGAUUUCAACUCUGCCUUUUCUCAUUAACAGCCUACCCUUAAGUGAGUUUUAAUUGCAAUAAUAAUUGCACAGGCUAAAGGAGUUGCCCAAAGCUUCUAGAUGACAGUGCAGGUUCUCUCCCAGGUGUCUAGGUAAACAUUUCUUCUGUUUCUGUAUUGAGGGCAGGGAGAUGCUAAAUCACUGUGGUUGCUGCCUCACCCUUAGGGUCCAGCUGUUGAUAAAAUUACAGGCUGGUAUGCAGGAGAACUCAUGCUUGUGCUGGCAUGAGAGAGGGAGCUGGGAGAGGCACAAUAAGGCUGGUUAUUUAGGGCUGUGCCAGUUUUGAUUGCUCAGAGAUAGAAAUGUGACCUAAAUAGUGACCAUAUCCAAGUGUACAAAAUGGAGUAAGAAACACACAGGUUGGGAGGCAAACACAGUAACUAGAAGCUGUCCCUGCUAUAUGUUAAAAGGCCUGAGAUGGCAAAGAGUACAGGAGAAAAUACUGUUUGGAAGGGAAAGCUUUGGUUGUAGGUCUCAGUCUCUCCCGAUAUCAGCAUUUCUGUUUGCUUCCUUAGCACUCAUUUAGCUAACAGCUGUAUUUUUGCCAUCUUCAUAGGGUUAAGCCAGUGGCUUCUUUGACAGUUAUGUGAGUCCAUAGGUCAGUGGGAAGGGAGUAGCAUUUACUCUUUCUCAGCCAAAGUAAUAUGCUUAAAAAUGAGUGAGCUUUUUUAGUGUGAGCUGUAUGUACUGAUGUUGAAUCAGAUUGCCAGUGAAGCAUGGGAAACGCAUCCUGUGCAGCUAGGGACCUGGCACAUUUGGAUAUGCCAAGUAACAUCUUUGCCUUUCUCUCCCAAAAUGAUGCAUGUCCUGAGAAUAUCUCCAGUUGAGAGAGAAUAAUGCUGAGGAGUACUAACAAAAAGGAUUGCAGUCAUCUAUGGACAGUUACACAAGUGGAUAAGCUUGGACAAGCAUACAGUCUACCUGAAGACUCUGACAAACUGUUCCAGAACUGGAUGGAAGUUAAGAAAACUGAAACCAGGAAGGAAGAGCCUAAUGCUGCAUCAUCGCAUAAGCAGCUGAAGGAACGAAGCCUGGCCUACAGAUCAGUGUCCCUAAAGAUUUCCUCAUAGUUGCGGUAUUUAAAAGUGACCUCCCUCUUACAGACUUUCUGAUGUUUAACUUAAUUUUGCAGGCUUUCUCUUGGCUGGAACACUUGUAGGAUCUUCUUCCUUUAAGGAGCCAGUUGCCUGUUUUCAUAGAACUUGAACUUGGUUUAUCCAAUCUUUUGUUUAUCUUUUAUUAAAUUUGUUUGAAAUCAA